RNAcentral lists this ribosomal RNA (207 nucleotides) under uncultured bacterium. RNAcentral describes it as "partial 16S ribosomal RNA". It matches the Rfam family "Bacterial small subunit ribosomal RNA", at positions 568 to 774 of the family's 1533-position model. The record is from RNAcentral.
CGCGUAGGCGGCUUGGCAAGUCUGACGUGAAAUGUACCGGUUCAACCGGGGCGCUGUGUCAGAAACUGCCUUGCUUGAGGUCGAGGGAGGAAAGUGGAAUUCCUGGUGUAGCGGUGAAAUGCGUAGAUAUCAGGAGGAACACCCGUGGCGAAGGCGGCUUUCUAUCUCGAUUCUGACGCUGAGGCGCGAAAGCUAGGGGAGCAAACG